GACGAACGCUGGCGGCGUGCUUAACACAUGCCAGUCGAACGGAAAGGCCCUGCUUUUGUGGGGUACACGAGUGGCGACCGGGUAAGUAACACGUGAGUAACCUGCCCUUGACUUUGGGAUAACUUCAGGAAACUGGGGCUAAUACCGGAUAGGAGCUCCUGCUGCAUGGUGGGGGUUGGAAAGUUUCGGCGGUUGGGGAUGGACUCGCGGCUUAUCAGCUUGUUGGUGGGGUAGUGGCUUACCAAGGCUUUGACGGGUAGCCGGCCUGAGAGGGUGACCGGCCACAUUGGGACUGAGAUACGGCCCAGACUCCUACGGGAGGCAGCAGUGGGGAAUAUUGCACAAUGGGCGGAAGCCUGAUGCAGCAACGCCGCGUGCGGGAUGACGGCCUUCGGGUUGUAAACCGCUUUCGCCUGUGACGAAGCGUGAGUGACGGUAAUGGGUAAAGAAGCACCGGCUAACUACGUG
Molecule: ribosomal RNA, 468 nt
Filed under: uncultured bacterium
Lineage: Bacteria
Description: partial 16S ribosomal RNA
Rfam family: Bacterial small subunit ribosomal RNA
Source: RNAcentral